RNA transcript from Prosopis cineraria, 1160 nucleotides. RefSeq lists it as uncharacterized. The transcript is spliced from 3 exons. NCBI's taxonomy places the organism in Eukaryota, Viridiplantae, Streptophyta, Magnoliopsida, Fabales, Fabaceae. The record is from RefSeq and is a predicted model, not a curated record.
GAGUACUCUCUAAAAAAACACUUCAAAAUCUACAAUAUGUAGGAGCUCUUUUCAAAAUUCAUCGGAUACCCAUUCCAUUUAAUUAAACAAAAUAUUAAUUAAAAACCCCAUCGGAUACCCAUUCCAUUUAACAGAACCCCAAAAUUUCAUCGUCUCCCCCUCUCUCUUCGAAGUCCAGGCCAUUUAUGCCACAACCGACGCCGUUGCACAAGUUGAAGCAUCUCGCCAGAGCAACGCAUCGCCGUCGACGCCAUCCCAACUGAGCUCACUCCAUCGCUGAAGGAUCCAGAUCUACAAAUCCCUGUCACCAAGCACCGAAUCUUCACGGAAUCCAUGUCGUUUCGUCUCAACUUGUCAGAAUAUUUAGUACUAAACCCCAAUGUCCCCUUCCCUCUCAGCUUCGACCUUAAACAGCCCGCCUCCAUCAAACUCGGCACCCUCACCCCCAAGUUCUGUGUCGUGGAACAGUUGCCUUGUCCAGAAAUUGAAUGGCAUGCUCGAUCUGCCAUUCCGAUCUGCAUUUUCCGGCCCUCCAUGGUCCCUUAGUGGUUUGAUUGGUUUUCUCUUGGCUGCUCCUCUUGGUGGUUUGAAGGCAUUGAUCUUCUUUUGUUUUGGCUUAGGUGAGUGGAAUUUGCUUGGGAGGAAAGGAAUAUGUUGGUUGGUAUUUCAAGGAAUGGGAUCAUUAAUUGAAUCUGAGAGCAAUAUUCUAUAUGGUUAGAACUCGUUGUGACUGAGGACUUUUCUUGUCCAUUUGGUUGAUGCAAUGUGCACUCUUUAAGGUAGAUAGGGUAUACCCUGUUAGGUGUAUAUUCCUGUAUUAGUUGUUUAUUUAUUUACUUUAUUGGACAAAUUUUGGUCAGGGGCUCAUAUAUAAAUCUAUUUCUCUUAUAUGAUUUUUAUCACAAACAUGAUUUGUUGUCUCUUUCAUUUUUUUGUAACAUUAAUCCAUUCACAACCCAGUCCUCUGUAUUCCUUUAUUUUUGGUAUGUAUAAUGACAAGUUAUAGGAUUUCUAUUUUUCCCAUAAAGACUUCGAACAAUUCUUAGUGUGAUUUCAAACUUCAAAGUAACUAUAGCAAGCGAGUGGGUGUAUCUAAUACGUGUUAAUUAAUUCAUACAAUAGUUGCAGAAUGGUUGCUGGUUUAUUUUUCUUCUGUUACA